RNAcentral lists this ribosomal RNA (515 nucleotides) under Bacillus sp. M5-C6. RNAcentral describes it as "bacterial SSU rRNA". It matches the Rfam family "Bacterial small subunit ribosomal RNA", at positions 1 to 488 of the family's 1533-position model. Lineage: Bacteria; Bacillati; Bacillota; Bacilli; Caryophanales; Bacillaceae. The record is from RNAcentral.
UGAGCUUGAUUCCUGGCUCAGGACGAACGCUGGCGGCGUGCCUAAUACAUGCAAGUCGAGCGCAGGAAGCCGGCGGAUCCCUUCGGGGUGAAGCCGGUGGAAUGAGCGGCGGACGGGUGAGUAACACGUGGGCAACCUACCUUGUAGACUGGGAUAACUCCGGGAAACCGGGGCUAAUACCGGAUGAUCAUUUGGAUCGCAUGAUCCGAAUGUAAAAGUGGGGAUUUAUCCUCACACUGCAAGAUGGGCCCGCGGCGCAUUAGCUAGUUGGUAAGGUAAUGGCUUACCAAGGCGACGAUGCGUAGCCGACCUGAGAGGGUGAUCGGCCACACUGGAACUGAGACACGGUCCAGACUCCUACGGGAGGCAGCAGUAGGGAAUCAUCCGCAAUGGGCGAAAGCCUGACGGUGCAACGCCGCGUGAACGAUGAAGGUUUUCGGAUCGUAAAGUUCUGUUAUGAGGGAAGAACAAGUGCCGUUCGAAUAGGUCGGCACCUUGACGGUACCUCACGAGAA